AGCGUACACGGUGGAUGCCCUGGCAGUCAGAGGCGAUGAAGGACGUGCUAAUCUGCGAAAAGCGCCGGCGAGGUGAUAUGAACCUUUGACCCGGCGAUGUCCGAAUGGGGAAACCCAGUGUGAUUCGUCACACUAUCGUUAACUGAAUACAUAGGUUAACGAGGCGAACCGGGGGAACUGAAACAUCUAAGUACCCCGAGGAAAAGAAAUCAACCGAGAUUCCCCCAGUAGCGGCGAGCGAACGGGGAGCAGCCCGGAGUCUGAAUCAGCUUGUGUGUUAGUGGAACGGUCUGGAAAGUCCGACGGUACAGGGUGAUAGUCCCGUACACGAAAAUGCACAGGUUGUGAACUCGAAGAGUAGGGCGGGACACGUGGUAUCCUGUCUGAAUAUGGGGGGACCAUCCUCCAAGGCUAAAUACUCCUGACUGACCGAUAGUGAACCAGUACCGUGAGGGAAAGGCGAAAAGAACCCCGGCGAGGGGAGUGAAAAAGAACCUGAAACCGUGUACGUACAAGCAGUGGGAGCCUCUUUAUGGGGUGACUGCGUACCUUUUGUAUAAUGGGUCAGCGACUUAUAUUCUGUAGCAAGGUUAACCGUAUAGGGGAGCCGAAGGGAAACCGAGUCUUAACUGGGCGUUAAGUUGCAGGGUAUAGACCCGAAACCCGGUGAUCUAGCCAUGGGCAGGUUGAAGGUUGGGUAACACUAACUGGAGGACCGAACCGACUAAUGUUGAAAAAUUAGCGGAUGACCUGUGGCUGGGGGUGAAAGGCCAAUCAAACCGGGAGAUAGCUGGUUCUCCCCGAAAGCUAUUUAGGUAGCGCCUCGUGAAUUCAUCUUCGGGGGUAGAGCACUGUUUCGGCUAGGGGGCCAUCCCGGCUUACCAACCCGAUGCAAACUACGAAUACCGAAGAAUGUUAUCACGGGAGACACACGGCGGGUGCUAACGUCCGUCGUGAAGAGGGAAACAACCCAGACCGCCAGCUAAGGUCCCAAAGUCAUGGUUAAGUGGGAAACGAUGUGGGAAGGCACAGACAGCCAGGAUGUUGGCUUAGAAGCAGCCAUCAUUUAAAGAAAGCGUAAUAGCUCACUGGUCGAGUCGGCCUGCGCGGAAGAUGUAACGGGGCUAAACCAUGCACCGAAGCUGCGGCAGCGACGCUUAUGCGUUGUUGGGUAGGGGAGCGUUCUGUAAGCCGUUGAAGGUGGCCUGUGAGGGUUGCUGGAGGUAUCAGAAGUGCGAAUGCUGACAUAAGUAACGAUAAAGCGGGUGAAAAGCCCGCUCGCCGGAAGACCAAGGGUUCCUGUCCAACGUUAAUCGGGGCAGGGUGAGUCGACCCCUAAGGCGAGGCCGAAAGGCGUAGUCGAUGGGAAACAGGUUAAUAUUCCUGUACUUGGUGUUACUGCGAAGGGGGGACGGAGAAGGCUAUGUUAGCCGGGCGACGGUUGUCCCGGUUUAAGCAUGUAGGCGGAGGUUCCAGGUAAAUCCGGUACCUUAUUAACGCUGAGGUGUGAUGACGAGGCACUACGGUGCUGAAGUAACAAAUGCCCUGCUUCCAGGAAAAGCCUCUAAGCAUCAGGUAACACGAAAUCGUACCCCAAACCGACACAGGUGGUCAGGUAGAGAAUACCAAGGCGCUUGAGAGAACUCGGGUGAAGGAACUAGGCAAAAUGGUGCCGUAACUUCGGGAGAAGGCACGCUGAUAUGUAGGUGAAGCCCCUGCGGGUGGAGCUGAAAUCAGUCGAAGAUACCAGCUGGCUGCAACUGUUUAUUAAAAACACAGCACUGUGCAAACACGAAAGUGGACGUAUACGGUGUGACGCCUGCCCGGUGCCGGAAGGUUAAUUGAUGGGGUUAGCGGUAACGCGAAGCUCUUGAUCGAAGCCCCGGUAAACGGCGGCCGUAACUAUAACGGUCCUAAGGUAGCGAAAUUCCUUGUCGGGUAAGUUCCGACCUGCACGAAUGGCGUAAUGAUGGCCAGGCUGUCUCCACCCGAGACUCAGUGAAAUUGAACUCGCUGUGAAGAUGCAGUGUACCCGCGGCAAGACGGAAAGACCCCGUGAACCUUUACUAUAGCUUGACACUGAACACUGGUCCUUGAUGUGUAGGAUAGGUGGGAGGCUUUGAAGCGUGGACGCCAGUCUGCGUGGAGCCGCCCUUGAAAUACCACCCUUUAAUGGCUGGUGUUCUAACGUAGACCCGUAAUCCGGGUUGCGGACAGUGUCUGGUGGGUAGUUUGACUGGGGCGGUCUCCUCCCAAAGAGUAACGGAGGAGCACGAAGGUUAGCUAAUCCUGGUCGGACAUCAGGAGGUUAGUGCAAUGGCAUAAGCUAGCUUGACUGCGAGAGUGACGGCUCGAGCAGGUGCGAAAGCAGGUCAUAGUGAUCCGGUGGUUCUGAAUGGAAGGGCCAUCGCUCAACGGAUAAAAGGUACUCCGGGGAUAACAGGCUGAUACCGCCCAAGAGUUCAUAUCGACGGCGGUGUUUGGCACCUCGAUGUCGGCUCAUCACAUCCUGGGGCUGAAGUAGGUCCCAAGGGUAUGGCUGUUCGCCAUUUAAAGUGGUACGCGAGCUGGGUUUAGAACGUCGUGAGACAGUUCGGUCCCUAUCUGCCGUGGGCGCUGGAGAAUUGAGGGGGGCUGCUCCUAGUACGAGAGGACCGGAGUGGACGCAUCACUGGUGUUCGGGUUGUCAUGCCAAUGGCACUGCCCGGUAGCUAAAUGCGGAAGAGAUAAGUGCUGAAAGCAUCUAAGCACGAAACUUGCCCCGAGAUGAGUUCU
This 2775-nucleotide ribosomal RNA is filed under the name Enterobacter kobei. RNAcentral's name for it is "bacterial LSU rRNA". It matches the Rfam family "Bacterial large subunit ribosomal RNA". The record is from RNAcentral. Lineage: Bacteria; Pseudomonadati; Pseudomonadota; Gammaproteobacteria; Enterobacterales; Enterobacteriaceae.